GCCUGCUUAGCAUAGUGGCUAAUGCGUUGCACUUGUAUCACUUCGACGAUAUGCAAAGAUCACAGGUUCGAUUCCUGUAGUAGGCA
Staphylotrichum tortipilum is the source of this 86-nucleotide non-coding RNA. The record is from the annotation of a GenBank genome assembly. Lineage: Eukaryota; Fungi; Ascomycota; Sordariomycetes; Sordariales; Chaetomiaceae.